AUACGUAGGGGGCGAGCGUUGUCCGGAAUGAUUGGGCGUAAAGGGCGCGUAGGCGGCCCGGUAAGUCUGGAGUGAAAGUCCUGCUUUUAAGGUGGGAAUUGCUUUGGAUACUGUCGGGCUUGAGUGCAGGAGAGGUAAGUGGAAUUCCCAGUGUAGCGGUGAAAUGGGUAGAGAUUGGAAGGAACACCAGUGGCGAAGGCGACUUACUGGACUGUAACUGACGCUGAGGCGCGAAAGUGGGGGGAGCAAACAGGAUUAGAUACCCUGAUAGUCCACACUGUAAACGAUGAAUGCUAGGUGUAGGGGGUAUCGACCCCUUCUGUGCCGCAGUUAACACAAUAAGCAUUCCGCCUGGGGAGUACGGCCGCAAGGUUGAAACUCAAAUGAAUUGACGGGG
Molecule: ribosomal RNA, 397 nt
Filed under: uncultured bacterium
Lineage: Bacteria
Description: partial 16S ribosomal RNA
Rfam family: Bacterial small subunit ribosomal RNA
Source: RNAcentral